Molecule: transfer RNA, 100 nt
Filed under: Marasmius sp. AFHP31
Lineage: Eukaryota; Fungi; Basidiomycota; Agaricomycetes; Agaricales; Marasmiaceae
Description: tRNA-Val
Source: RNAcentral
GGUUCGAUGGCGUAGUUGGUUAUCGCAUCUGUCUAACAUACGACAGCCCUUUAUGUCAACAUUACACAGAAGGUCCCCAGUUCGAGCCUGGGUCGAAUCA